AGAGUUUGAUCCUGGCUCAGGACGAACGCUGGCGGCGUGCCUAACACAUGCAAGUCGAACGGGGUAGCAAUACCCAGUGGCGAACGGGUGCGUAACACGUGAGGAACUUGCCUAUCGGUGGGGGAUAGCCGGCCCAACGGCCGGGUAAUACCGCGUACGUUCCUCGGGGGGCAUCCCCUGGGGAGGAAAGCAGCAAUGCGCCGAUAGAGGGCCUCGCGGCCUAUCAGCUAGUUGGUGGGGUAAUGGCCCACCAAGGCGACGACGGGUAGCUGGUCUGAGAGGAUGAUCAGCCACAUUGGGACUGAGACACGGCCCAGACUCCUACGGGAGGCAGCAGUGGGGAAUAUUGCGCAAUGGGCGAAAGCCUGACGCAGCGACGCCGCGUGUGGGAUGACGGCCUUCGGGUUGUAAACCACUGUCGGGAGGGACGAAGCUCUGACGGUACCUCCAAAGGAAGCACCGGCUAACUCUGUGCCAGCAGCCGCGGUAAUACAGAGGGUGCAAGCGUUGUCCGGAAUCACUGGGCGUAAAGGGCGCGUAGGCGGCCUGAUAAGUCGGGGGUGAAACGCUGCGGCUCAACCGCAGCACUGCCUUCGAGACUGUUGGGCUUGAGCACGGUAGAGGCUGGUGGAAUUCCCGGUGUAGCGGUGGAAUGCGUAGAGAUCGGGAAGAACAUCGGUGGCGAAGGCGGCCAGCUGGGCCGUUGCUGACGCUGAGGCGCGACAGCGUGGGGAGCAAACAGGAUUAGAUACCCUGGUAGUCCACGCCGUAAACGAUGGGUACUAGGCGUCGGGGGGAGCGACCCUCUCGGUGCCGUCGCUAACGCAGUAAGUACCCCGCCUGGGGAGUACGGUCGCAAGACUGAAACUCAAAGGAAUUGACGG
This 884-nucleotide ribosomal RNA is filed under the name uncultured bacterium. RNAcentral's name for it is "bacterial SSU rRNA". It matches the Rfam family "Bacterial small subunit ribosomal RNA", at positions 8 to 916 of the family's 1533-position model. The record is from RNAcentral.